Molecule: long non-coding RNA, 1280 nt
Organism: Bombus impatiens (common eastern bumble bee)
Lineage: Eukaryota; Metazoa; Arthropoda; Insecta; Hymenoptera; Apidae
Exons: 3
Source: RefSeq, a predicted model, not a curated record
UUCGCGUUGUCCGCGCUCGCACAGAUUUUUAUCCCGUAAACGAGCAAAAACCAUCGUCUUGCUAACAUAUCUCGUGUCAUUAAGGUGUUAGGAAGCAUCUUAGAAUCGAGUAAUUUGUUCCGUCAUCAUGGUUCGAUGGUACUUCUAAUUGGAUACGAACAACCGAAUUCGGUGCUAAUUAAAGCAGAAUUUACAUUCGAUCGGUCGCUACUUUCUCGAUACUAACAUCUCCCAGUUCCCCUUUCCGACUCUCCAAGUAUCCUUUCAAUUUUUGAUGCACACGCUACGAGUUACGUAAAAAAAACUUUCUUUUCGAUCGCGAAUCACGCUCGGAUUACAUAAAAGAAGUUCCUUCAAAUAGAAAACAAAUAUUACGUUAAAAACUGCGUGUGCUAUUAAUUCAACAUGUCUGCUUCGAUUUUUGUUUCGAGCAUGCAACGAGUUAUAAAACUACGUUUCAAUCUAUAUGGCUAUUUAUCUGACAUCUUACAGUAUGAAAUCUUAUGUUAUAAUAAGCGAUACGAUAUUUGCAUUUCCUUAUUAGCAUCAAUAUACAAAUGAGAAUUCUAACGUAAAACACCAUCAGCAAAUUUAUUCUACCAGACCAGAAAUUGUGAACAUUGGAAAACAAACAAUGGGCAUAAUAUUCCACUCAAACGACUAUGCACUAAUAAACGCUCCAACGAAUCAACGAAGAACUUAAAACUUCAGUAUCCAGCGUCUAUUAAUAAAUCCAUCUUGCCAGACCAUGGAGCACAAAAAAGCCAGGAAACGGGGAACAUAAAAUUACACCCAUUAAUAUCAGCCUACUAAAAAUAAGUAAAACAAAAUAAUUAGUGUAGAUUUUGCGAAACAGUCGAGUAUCACGGCGACACAACGCGCCAAAUAAGACGAACGAUGGGGAACAUUAAAAUACGAAACGAUCGGUGGAUGGAUGGGAUCGGGUCGACAUUAAUGACGCGAACGCUACUUUUAAAUCGUCCUGGCGGUGUGGCCAUAUCGAGGAACCGCGGCGUGGGUCGCCACGCGUGAUCGCUGUUUACAUACAAGACGAACGCGAGGUGGAAACGAGACAAAAAGCUAAGAACGCGAGGAAAAAACGCGAGGUACAAGCGCCGUGCAGGAAAUGCGCCACAGCAUCGCGUUUCACCAUCAAGACCAAUGCCAAUUCAGGAAGAUUCAAUGAAAAUCACGAAAAUUGUUGUUUCGUCCGAGUCACUUAAAACUUUAAAAUCGAGAAGCAAAGUGAUAUUGUUAAAAGCAUUGUAUUGUUUAAUUUA